AUGGCACCGGCUGAAUUGUUCUCCUUUUUUGGUACCAAUAAUAAUACAGCACCGCGGCUGUUGUUGGUGGCUCAUGUCUCUGCUCGGUCGCAAAAUAUCGUUCACAUGGAUCUAUCUAGGCUCAUCGCCGUGGCCGUGCUCCUCGGCGCCUUGCGCCCGCUCCUGAGCCACUGCGCCGGCGACGUCGAGGGCCUACACCCGCUCGUGCUGGUGCCAGGGUACGGGUCCAACCUGCUCGAGGCGCGGCUGACGGCGGCGUACGAGCCGCCGGCGCCCGGCUGCGGUAAGGGGAAUGGGUGGUUCCGGCUGUGGCCGAUCAAGCAGACGGCGAUGCAGGACCCCCGCCAGGUCCCGUGCUUCGUGGACCAGAUGAGCCUCGUCUACGACGCCGUCGCCGACGACUACGGCAACGUUGCCGGCGUCGUGACCCGGGUCCCGCUCUUCGGCUCCACGCGCGGCUUAAUUGGGUGGGACCCCCUGCUGCGGGAGCUGGAGGCCGCGGGCUACCGCGACGGCGAGAGCCUCUUCGCCGUGCCGUACGACUUCCGCUACUCCGUCGCGCCGCGCGGCCACCCGUCCGCGGAGGGCGCCUGCAACUUCGACGAGUUCACGCGGCUCGUCGAAAGGGCGAGCUCGCUCAGCCAGGGACGGCCGGUCGUCGUCGCCGCGCACAGCUUCGGCUGCGCGCUCACCUACCAGUUCCUCCUCGGCCGCCCGCUCGCCUGGCGCCGGCGCUUCGUGAAGCGCGUCGUCUUCGUCGCCUCCGCGCUCGGCGGCUUCUCGGAGGGGAUGAACGACCUGGCCGCCGGCACGGACUACGGCCUGCCGAACGUCGCGCGGCCGGCGAGGGUCCGGCUGGCGCGGAGCCAGCAGAGCGCGCUCUGGCGCCUGCCCACGCCGGCGGUGUUCGGGGACCGGCCGCUGGUGGUGACCAAGAACGCGACGUACACGGCACACAACAUUGCGGAGUUCUUCGAGGCCGUCGGCUUCCCGGAAGGGGUCCGGCCGUACGUGACGCGGGUGCUGCCAGCAUGGGAGGCGCUGCCGGCGCCGAUGGUGCCGGUGACCAGCAUCAUCGGGGUCGGCGUCAGCACGCCGGAGACGUUCGUGUACGGGGAAGACGGGUUCGCGGGGACCCCGGAGGUGGUGUACGGCGACGGCGAUGGCGACAUAAACAUGGUGAGUCUGGUGGCCAUCGAGAAGGAGUGGUCUGGGGUGGAAGGCCAGGUUCUGACGGUGGUCAGGUUGCCCGGCGUUCGUCACGAUGGCUUCUUCAGCGUUGGUUUCGCUCUGGAAAAAGUGGUUGCUGAAAUACUCGAGGCUGCUGGAACUAUAGAACUCCAUCCGAAGAUUGGCCGAGUGCAGAUCGAUGCAGGUCCCGUCUGGAAGGAAGAUAGAUGUAGAGUGCACGAAGGCCUUUAUAAUGCUUCGAGUAAUGCGUUUUUGGAGGUGCUCUGA
This 1458-nucleotide ribosomal RNA is filed under the name Triticum aestivum (bread wheat). RNAcentral's name for it is "partial small subunit ribosomal RNA". Lineage: Eukaryota; Viridiplantae; Streptophyta; Magnoliopsida; Poales; Poaceae. The record is from RNAcentral.